RNAcentral lists this ribosomal RNA (372 nucleotides) under Shigella flexneri. RNAcentral's name for it is "partial 23S ribosomal RNA". It matches the Rfam family "Bacterial large subunit ribosomal RNA", at positions 2436 to 2807 of the family's 2925-position model. The record is from RNAcentral. Lineage: Bacteria; Pseudomonadati; Pseudomonadota; Gammaproteobacteria; Enterobacterales; Enterobacteriaceae.
GAAGGGCCAUCGCUCAACGGAUAAAAGGUACUCCGGGGAUAACAGGCUGAUACCGCCCAAGAGUUCAUAUCGACGGCGGUGUUUGGCACCUCGAUGUCGGCUCAUCACAUCCUGGGGCUGAAGUAGGUCCCAAGGGUAUGGCUGUUCGCCAUUUAAAGUGGUACGCGAGCUGGGUUUAGAACGUCGUGAGACAGUUCGGUCCCUAUCUGCCGUGGGCGCUGGAGAACUGAGGGGGGCUGCUCCUAGUACGAGAGGACCGGAGUGGACGCAUCACUGGUGUUCGGGUUGUCAUGCCAAUGGCACUGCCCGGUAGCUAAAUGCGGAAGAGAUAAGUGCUGAAAGCAUCUAAGCACGAAACUUGCCCCGAGAUGA